Molecule: ribosomal RNA, 362 nt
Filed under: uncultured bacterium
Lineage: Bacteria
Description: partial 16S ribosomal RNA
Rfam family: Bacterial small subunit ribosomal RNA
Source: RNAcentral
UGGGGAAUUUUGGACAAUGGGGGAAACCCUGAUCCAGCCAUCCCGCGUGUGCGAUGAAGGCCUUCGGGUUGUAAAGCACUUUUGGCAGGAAAGAAACGUCGCGGGUUAAUACCCCGCGAAACUGACGGUACCUGCAGAAUAAGCACCGGCUAACUACGUGCCAGCAGCCGCGGUAAUACGUAGGGUGCAAGCGUUAAUCGGAAUUACUGGGCGUAAAGCGUGCGCAGGCGGUUCGGAAAAAAGAUGUGAAAUCCCAGAGCUUAACUUUGGAACUGCAUUUUUAACUACCGGGCUAGAGUGUGUCAGAGGGAGGUGGAAUUCCGCGUGUAGCAGUGAAAUGCGUAGAUAUGCGGAGGAACACC